Pelobates cultripes (western spadefoot toad) is the source of this 709-nucleotide non-coding RNA. Lineage: Eukaryota; Metazoa; Chordata; Amphibia; Anura; Pelobatidae. The record is from the annotation of a GenBank genome assembly.
CCCCAUUAACACAUUCUCCGCUGUUCUGUACAUUAUAACUCUCCCCAUUAACACAUUCUCCCCUGUUCUGUACAUUAUAACGCUCCCUAUUAACACAUUCUCCCCUGUUCUGUACAUUAUAACGCUCCCCAUUAACACAUUCUCCCCUGUUCUGUACAUUAUAACUCUCCCUAUUAACACAUUCUCCCCUGUUCUGUACAUUAUAACGCUCCCCAUUAACACAUUCUCCCCUGUUCUGUACAUUAUAACGCUCCCCAUUAACACAUUCUCCCCUGUUCUGUACAUUAUAACGCUCCCCAUUAACACAUUCUCCCCUGUUCUGUACAUUAUAACGCUCCCCAUUAACACAUUCUCCCCUGUUCUGUACAUUAUAACUCUCCCCAUUAACACAUUCUCCCUGUUCUGUACAUUAUAACUCUCCCCUAUUAACACAUUCUCCCCUGUUCUGUACAUUAUAACGCUCCCUAUUAACACAUUCUCCCCUGUUCUGUACAUUAUAACGCUCCCCAUUAACACAUUCUCCCCUGUUCUGUACAUUAUAAACUCCCCAUUAACACAUUCUCCCCUGUUCUGUACAUUAUAACGCUCCCCAUUAACACAUUCUCCCCUGUUCUGUACAUUAUAACGCUCCCCAUUAACACAUUCUCCCCUGUUCUGUACAUUAUAACUCUCCCUAUUAACACAUUCUCCCCUGUUCUGUACAUUAUAA